This 557-nucleotide long non-coding RNA is filed under the name Heterocephalus glaber (naked mole-rat). Its description in RNAcentral is "lncRNA (ENSHGLG00100034828.1)". The record is from RNAcentral. Lineage: Eukaryota; Metazoa; Chordata; Mammalia; Rodentia; Bathyergidae.
AGCACCUUGCUGCGAGCCGUUUUCUCCUAGACCGUGGAGCCAGGCCAGAUAACCCGCAUCCUAUCCGCCCUGCGCAUUUCGCCAGGGACAGAAACAGACGGUUUGCAGUACGGUCAGACAUGGAGGAUUACAACAACAACCUAUGGUGAAACUACCCCUGCUUUGGUAAAGCGUUGCGUUCCAACAGUAGUGGCUGGGAUGACUAAUUGCAGACUAGUCAGGACUGCAAACGAUCUUGAAAGAAUUCCAGGGAUUUCUUUCAGGGAGGCACACUCCGGUAAGCAGCGCCCAGUUGAAGACAUCGAAGAUGAACAACAAACCAGAGUACUCCCACGAUUCCUCCCAGUCACUCCCCUGCCAAAGUAUAACCGCUACCCGCACUAUUUAGUCCUAAUUUUCAUGUUAAAUAUAAGAGAACGUUAGUGAGCUCUCCUUUUUUUGUUGUUGUAUCCAAAGCAAAACUUCACUUCAAAAAUAGUAUAAUCUGCAUAGUAGUUAAAUUGCCAUAUUGUAAAUUCACCCUAACCUUCAUGAAGACACUAUGCAGUAUAGCACAC